CUGAGUAACACGUAGGAACCUAUCCUAGGGUGGAGAAUAGCUCAUUGAAAGUGGGGUAAUACUCCAUAGUAUCGCCUUAAUGGCGAUUAAAGGGCAUAACUGCCCGCCAAAGGAGGGGCCUGCGGCUUAUCAGGUAGUUGGUGGGGUAAUGGCCUACCAAGCCAAUGACGAGUAGCUGGUCUGGGAGGACGGACAGCCAGAGAGGGACUGAGACACGGCCCUCACGACUACGGUCGGCAGCAACCAGGAAUAUUGCGCAAUGGGCGAAAGCCUGACGCAGCGACACCGCGUGCGGGAAGAAGGCCUUAGGGUUGUAAACCGCUGUGGUAGGGGAAGAAUAAAAUGACGGUACCCUACUAGAAAGUGGCUGCUAACUACGUGCCAAAAGCCUCGGUCAUGCGUAGGCCACAAGCGUUAUCCGAUUUUAUUGGGCGCAAAGGGACGCGUAAGCGGUUAGGUAAGUCAUGUCUAAAAUUCUCCCGCUUAACGGGAGCUUCGGCAUGAUACUACCUUACUAGAGUUUUUCUCAGGAAAGCGGAACGUACUUUGUAGCGGUAAAAUGCGUUGAUAAAGUACGGAACACCAACGGCGAAAGGCAGCUUUCUGGAGAUUUACUGACGCUGAGGCUCGAAAGCUAGGGUAGCGAAAGGGAUUAGAGACCCCUGUAGUCCUAGCCCUAAACGAAUGUCUGCUAGUUCUGCUUAGUCCGGCUUUGUCGAGACUGGGUGGGGCGUAAGUUAACACGUUAAGCAGACCGCCUGGGAACUACGAUCGCAAGAUUAAAACUCAAAUGAAUAGGCGGGGACCUACACAACGAGUGGAACAUGUGGCUCAAUUCGACACAAACCGAAGAACCUUACCAAGGCUUGACAUACUAUUGCACGUCCGCUGAAAGGCGGAAAGCCUUAGAGGGUAUAGUACAGCUGGUGCAUGGCUGUCGUCAGCUCGUUCCGUGAGGAGUGCCCUUAAGUGGGACAACGAGCGCAACCCCUAUUUUGUGUUAUAAGUAUCACAAGAGACGGUCCCGAUAGUCAUCGGGAAGGAAGGAGGGGCAGACGUCAAGUCAUCAUGUCGCUUAUGCCUUGGGCUGCACACAUGUUACAAUGAGUAGUACAACGGGUCUUGCAACUUUGUAAAAAGAAGCGAAUCUCUUAAAACUACUCUCAGUGGGGAUUGAGGUCUGAAACCCGACCUCAUGAACGCGGAAUUCGUAGUAAUCGCAGGUCAUCUAUACUGCGGUGAAUACGUUCUUGGGUCUUGCACUCACCGCCCGUCAAGCCACCAAAGUUGGAGGUGCCUAA
RNAcentral lists this ribosomal RNA (1301 nucleotides) under uncultured Microgenomates group bacterium. Its description in RNAcentral is "bacterial SSU rRNA". It matches the Rfam family "Bacterial small subunit ribosomal RNA", at positions 106 to 1424 of the family's 1533-position model. The record is from RNAcentral.